RNAcentral lists this ribosomal RNA (806 nucleotides) under uncultured organism. RNAcentral describes it as "bacterial SSU rRNA". It matches the Rfam family "Bacterial small subunit ribosomal RNA", at positions 55 to 834 of the family's 1533-position model. The record is from RNAcentral.
AUGCAAGUCGCACGAGAACACUCAGCUUGCUGGGGUAAGUAAAGUGGCGUACGGGUGAGUAACGCGUGGGUAAUCUGCCCUCGAAUCUGGGAUAACCCCGCGAAAGCGGGGCUAAUACCGGAUGAAAUCCAGUUAGCUUUGGCUAUAUGGAUCAAAGGUGGCCUCUGCAUGCAAGCUACUGUUUGGGGAUGAGCCCGCGUACCAUUAGCUUGUUGGUGGGGUAAAGGCCCACCAAGGCGACGAUGGUUAGCUGGUCUGAGAGGAUGAUCAGCCACACUGGAACUGGAACACGGUCCAGACUCCUACGGGAGGCAGCAGUGAGGAAUUUUGCGCAAUGGGGGUAACCCUGACGCAGCAACGCCGCGUGAGUGAUGAAGGCCUUCGGGUCGUAAAGCUCUGUCAAGUGGGAAGAACCCAUUCCGGCACAACAAGCCGGGGUGCUGACGGUACCACUGAAGGAAGCACCGGCUAACUCCGUGCCAGCAGCCGCGGUAAUACGGAGGGUGCGAGCGUUAUUCGGAAUUACUGGGCGUAAAGGGCGCGUAGGCGGCCGAUUAAGUCAGAUGUGAAAUCCCGGGGCUUACCCCCGGAAGUGCAUUUGAUACUGAACGGCUUGAGUAUGGGAGAGGGAAGUGGAAUUCCUGGUGUAGCGGUGAAAUGCGUAGAUAUCAGGAGGAACACCGGUGGCGAAGGCGACUUCCUGGACCAAUACUGACGCUGAGGCGCGAAGGCGUGGGGAGCAAACAGGAUUAGAUACCCUGGUAGUCCACGCAGUAAACGGUGAUCACUAGGUGUAGCGGGUAUUG